GUGUGUAUUAUAUAAUUUCCAUACCCAGCGCAAGCAGAAUGAUGUAUAUAUAUAUAUAUAUAUACUUAAAAUCUGUUAGCUUUAUGAUUAAAUGUUUUGCACAAUAUAAUUUUAGGCUAUGGAAUCAUCAGGGGUAUUGCAACUAUAUAGGAGAUCAAUUGAGAAGCGGAAGUUACGGUACAUUCCAUUUAUUGGUGAUGGCGAUUCCUCCUCCUACAAUGGAGUUUGCAUAGAGAGACCAUAUGGAGAAACAAUAUUUAUUCCCAAAGUUGAUUGUAUAGCUCAUGUAACCAAAAGAAUGGGAACAAAUUUGAGAUCACUCGUCCGUGACUAUAAAGGUAAAUAUUGCACACUUAUACUGUCAACCUAAAAACGCAAAUUCUGUUUUCGUUUGAAACAUGCACGUAUGCAUGUUGAGAUCAGGCAUGCACUUUUAUGACAGCACUAACGAUACAGUUUGAACUUUGUAAUGAAACUUCAGCUUCUCAAAUCGUAAGAUGUACUGAGUCAUUUCAUAGAUCAAACGUGCACGUUUUACCCGCCAAACAUGUAUGUUUCAAAAUAAACUAACGCGAAAAAUAGUGUGCGUUUUACGGUUGAUUGCAAAUGACAAACAUAUGUCGUAUAAAUAAAAAGUUAACUCGUCUUGAAUAGCCUAAUCUCAGUGCACGUACGUCAUAAAGAAAUAGUUUCAACAUUUAUAUUUAUUCUAUUUUCAUUUAUAAGGAAAAAAACUUGCAGAUGGGAAGGGUUUGAGUGGUGCUGGUAGAUUGACCAUAGCCCGGAUCGAUGCUAUCCAAAGUUUUUACGGCCUAUGUAUUCGCCAAAAUAAAGGCGAUUCAAAGGCAAUGGCUAAGGUUACCAAAGCUAUAAUGUAUCAUUAUGCCAGUACCGAGGAGAACCCCCAGCAUACCUUUUGUCCAGUUGGAAAGGAUUCGUGGUGCUCGUACCAAAGGGAUGUCGCCAAUAAUACAACAUUCCACAAACCUGUAAAGAAUCCGUUCCCCCCUGCCAUUAUCGAAGUGAUCAAACCAGUUUUCGAUCGCUUCGGUGAUGCAAACUUUCUUGCUGGUUGUGGAAGAUGUGCAACUCAAAACCCAAAUGAGGCUUUACAUCAUGUUAUUUGGGGGUUGCCCCUAAAGAGCAGUACACAUCUCCCCGCGAAACAAGCUUAGCUGUUAGUCUUGGCUGUUUGUUGUUCAACAGUGGAAUGGAAAUUACAUACUCGCAAUUGCUGCCAAAGAUAGGGUUGGAUGUUGAUGAGAAAAUGGUGAAUGAAUGGAAGAAAGUGGAUAAGAAAAGAAUAGACACAGCAGAGUACAAAGAGAAGUCAGCUGUUAAGGAACGAAGAAAGAAAUAUAAAAGGCAAAGGGCAAACAAAGCUGAUGCAUUUGUGCAUAAAGAGGGGAUUCAGUACAAGUCACAAGAGUUCUAUGGUGAUGGUCGGAAAAGUGUGCCAGCUGCAGCAGCAGCAAAGGAAAACAGAAAGAGCAAAACAAAGAGAAAACGUAAAAAGAAGAGCUAGAAUAAAGAUUAGAACACAAUAUAAAAACAGUUAUGAAUCUUAUGAUAGUCGCUGGCAGGAAUCAAACCUGUGUCCCGGUGCACUGCUCUAACCAACUGAGCUAAAGAAUACAGUAAAUAUGUAUCUACAGUACAUGAAGUUGAACUUGCGGCUACAGCUCGACAAAAGUUGUCGAGCUCUAACCGCAAGUUUAUGAUGUGUAUAUAUACUAAGGUGACGCUAAUAGACCUUUCCCCUUUUGAGUGAAACUUUGAUCUAGACAAAUCUGGACAAAAGUCUGGACCAAAAUUUCAUCACAGCUUGAAAGAGCAUCACAAAAUUAGUAAAGAAAAAGCAAGAGCAUCACAAAGUUUCGUUGUGAAAUGCGGAUAAUAUAGCCUUGCGAAGUUUGCCGUUUUUCAGUCAUUUUGCAUUACAUAUGGGAAAUUGAUAAUCAGUUUGAUCAUCUGAUUACAAUUUCCCAUUUGUAAUGCAAAAUGACUGAAAAACGGCAAACUUCGCAAGGCUAUAUUAUCCGCAUUUUACAACAUUUUGCAACGAAACUUUGGACUAUAUUACUAAUUUUGUGAUGCUCUUUCAAGCUGUGAUGAAAUUUUUGUCCAGACUUGUCUAGAUCAAAAUUUCACUCAUAAGGGGAAAGGUCUAUUAUGGAAGGUGUAUGGUACAUUGAACAUUAUAUUAUGAAUGUAUAAUAGAAUCCACACUAUAUUUGGAGUAAAAUACUUUUUUAUCUGUAAUUAUCACUACCUGGGUACUACGAGAACAUUGUAAAAAUACAAACAUUUCAAUAAUUAUAUCUAAUUAUUUUGUACUAUAUGUAAAGUUAAUGAUGAAUGUACACAAUUUGUAAUUAUAAAAUACAAAUACAAUAAUAUUUUAUGCAUGUGGUAAAUUCAUUACUUCGCAGAAAACCUUCAGAGUAACAGGGAAUGCAUCCUAUAAAAUAAAUCAUAAAGCGUCGUGAAUUAUUUUGAAACAUGUAUAGGUAGGCUAGAGGAAAUCGAAUUCUAAUAAAUUAAAAAUACAAGUACAAGAUCAAGUGACAAAGAUAAAAUAAUAACGCUAGUGAGUAGUUGAAUAUCCAUAUCCAAGAAAUAUGUUUAGCCCGUAUAUGUGCUACGCCAGCCAAAUAUAUAUGUAAUAUAGCGCGGACACAGUAACUGCAUGGUACAUUUCCG
Molecule: non-coding RNA, 2703 nt
Organism: Paramuricea clavata
Lineage: Eukaryota; Metazoa; Cnidaria; Anthozoa; Malacalcyonacea; Plexauridae
Source: the annotation of a GenBank genome assembly